Molecule: long non-coding RNA, 726 nt
Filed under: Equus asinus (donkey)
Lineage: Eukaryota; Metazoa; Chordata; Mammalia; Perissodactyla; Equidae
Description: lncRNA (ENSEASG00005025809.1)
Source: RNAcentral
UUGGGCGUCAGCGGACUUGGCAGCGGGGACGUUGGCGGCAGCGGCCCCUCAGAGCCUGGACCCUGGUGAGGGCGCCGACCCCGGUCGUGUGUGGCAGGCGACAGUCGCGGGCGCUGAGCAGGGACCAGACUCCGCUCGCGCUCCUCGUCCUGAACGCGCUGACUGACUGGAAGGUGUCGCCGCCCCGCGUGCCCCCUGAGGAGGAUGUGCAGUGUCUGUGGCCCAGGCAGGGCUGACUCAGCCGCCCUCAGUGACCAAGUCCCCAGGACAGACGGCCACACUCACCUGCACUGGAAAGAGCAAAAAUGUCGGCCAUGAGGGGGCAGCGUGGCUGCAGCAGCAACCCCAAGGCCGUGUCCCCACACUCCUGACCAGCAGGAAUAACAUCUGGGCCUCUGGGGUCUCCGAGAGAUUCUCUGGCUCCAGGGAGUCUUGAACAAGGUGGGGCUGACAGACCAUUACGAGCCCCAAUGCACUUCCAAGGAGGAAGUGGGCUCCUGGGAAGACUGUGCAGAAGACAAGACACAGCUUGUGGGCGGAGUCCGCACAGUGGACCCUCAGGAGACAGAGCUCAGUGGCGCCUCAACCAAACCCGGAAGUCUUGUUCUUCCAGCUUCUGGAUCCUGGGCCCAGUCUGUGCUGACUCAGCAGGCCUCAGUGUCUGGGAAUCUGGGCCAGAGGGUCACCAUCUCCUGCACUGGAAGCAGCUCCGACAUCAGUGAUUAU